Pelobates cultripes (western spadefoot toad) is the source of this 399-nucleotide non-coding RNA. Lineage: Eukaryota; Metazoa; Chordata; Amphibia; Anura; Pelobatidae. The record is from the annotation of a GenBank genome assembly.
AUGAAAGGAGAUCUGGAAGGAGAGAGAAGACCUAGAAAAUAUGACAGCAGAGAUAAGAAAGGAGACAUGAGUCAACAGAGAGAAAGAAAGCUGGAAAGAGCUUUAGAAUAUAAAUUGUCUAAGAGACAUAAGAUCUAGAAUGAGACAAUAGUCUAAGACAUGAUGUAGGAAGGAGAGAUCUAGAAUGAGACAAUGGUUUGAAGUGGGAAAGGGUCUGGAAGAAGAGAUCUAGAAUGAGCUAAAUGGCCCGAGAGACGGGAGAUCGGGAAUGAGCUAAAUGGCCCGAGAGACGGGAGAUCGGGAAUGAGCUAAAUGGCCCGAGAGACGGGAGAUCGGGAAUGAGCUAAAUGGCCCGAGAGACGGGAGAUCGGGAAUGAGCUAAAUGGCCCGAGAGACGGG